Molecule: long non-coding RNA, 468 nt
Organism: Macaca mulatta (Rhesus monkey)
Lineage: Eukaryota; Metazoa; Chordata; Mammalia; Primates; Cercopithecidae
Source: RefSeq, a predicted model, not a curated record
GCAAGUAAUCUCGAUGUUUGAAUGUUUGAAUGAUCGACUGAAAAGAAGACACAAACAAUUUCAAACAGUGUCUCUGGUACCAGGACAAAGCAGGAACAUUCUGAUCCUAGAGUUGUUUAAACAAAGGCUGGAGAGUACUGCCUUCUUUGGCAUACCAGAACCCACAGUAAGAUGCUAGGUCUGUUGUCGUCUGGAUGAUUAUAGCACAAGUGAAACAGAAGAAUAAGAGAUUUGAAGGCGUUAAUGCUGGAAAUAGUGAUGGAUAAUCACUAUGCUUCUGAGCUAGGGAAGAAAAUGAAGCCUGAAGAUAAUUUGGAAACCAGGAGAACUGAGACAAGGGGAAAAGAGGGAGAAGCAGAAUCAUCACUAUCCAGCUCCCCAAGUAAUAUGAGAUCCAAAGCUGGCUGCUGUGGUGUAUGCCUGUAAUCCCAGCUACUCAGGAGACUGAGUUGGAAGGAUCUCUUGAGC